CCAUGGAUCCCCAGGUGGGU
Molecule: microRNA, 20 nt
Filed under: Sus scrofa (pig)
Lineage: Eukaryota; Metazoa; Chordata; Mammalia; Artiodactyla; Suidae
Description: ssc-miR-490-5p
Gene: ssc-miR-490-5p
Source: miRBase by way of RNAcentral